This 253-nucleotide ribosomal RNA is filed under the name uncultured bacterium. Its description in RNAcentral is "partial 16S ribosomal RNA". It matches the Rfam family "Bacterial small subunit ribosomal RNA", at positions 524 to 776 of the family's 1533-position model. The record is from RNAcentral.
UACGGUGGGUGCAAGCGUUAUCCGGAUUUACUGGGUUUAAAGGGUGUGUAGGCGGACUUUUAAGUCAGCGGUGAAAUCUCCGGGCUCAACCCGGAAACUGCCAUUGAUACUAUUAGUCUUGAAUGUUGUAGAGGUGGGCGGAACGGGUCAUGUAGCGGUGAAAUGCAUAGAUAUGACGAGGAACACCGAUUGCGAAGGCAGCCCACUAAGCAACUAUUGACGCUGAGGCACGAAAGCGUGGGGAUCAAACAGG